Molecule: long non-coding RNA, 839 nt
Organism: Pongo pygmaeus (Bornean orangutan)
Lineage: Eukaryota; Metazoa; Chordata; Mammalia; Primates; Hominidae
Exons: 2
Source: RefSeq, a predicted model, not a curated record
AGAGACAGGUGGCGAGAGAGGGAGGUAGAAAAGAAGAGGGAGGAAGGGACAGAGAGCUUGGCUCAGGGAGGCCAACAGGACUGUUUUACCAGGAACACAGUGAUGAGAACAGAGCUCUGGCCUGGAGGGGCUGUGUGCUCUCUACAAGGAAGACGACGUGCUGUGCCAGUGAGUGUUGGGGCAAGACCUCUCUGAGGAGAAUAACUGGAAGCUCCCCCCAGGCUGAGCGGGGCCUCCCACAAAGUGCAGAAGAUGAUGGGGGAAGGGAUGGAGUACGGAAGCAGAAGUCAUGUCUGCCCAACGGUGCUGACCUAAGGUGGUCACUCUUGGGGUGUCCCCUGUGAUGGUUAAUAUUGAGUGUCAACUUGAUUGGAUUGAAGGAUACAAAGUAUUGUUCCUGAGUGUAUCUAUGAAGGUGUUGCCAAAGGAGAUUAACAUUUGAAUCAGUGGACUGGGAGAGGCAGACCCACCUGCAAUCUGGGUGGGCACCAUCUAAUCAGCUGCCAACCUGGCUAGAAUAAAGCAGGCAGAGGAACGUAGAAUAAGGACACUCUCUGGAUCUUCCGGCCUUCUUCUUUCUCCCGUGCUGGAUGCUUCCUGCCGUCAAACCUCAGACUCCGAUUCUUCAGCUUUUGGACUCUUGGACCUACACCAGUGAUUUGCCAGAGGCUCUCAGGCAUUCGGACACAGAGUAAAGGCUACACUGUCGGCUUCCCUACUUUUGAGGUUUUGGGACUCAGACUGGCUUCGUUGCUCCUCAGUUUGCAGAAGGCCUGUUGUGGGACUUCACCUUGUGACUGUGUGAAUCAAUUCUCCUAAUAAACUCCCCUUCAUAUAUA